Molecule: ribosomal RNA, 253 nt
Filed under: uncultured bacterium
Lineage: Bacteria
Description: partial 16S ribosomal RNA
Rfam family: Bacterial small subunit ribosomal RNA
Source: RNAcentral
UACGGAGGGUGCAAGCGUUAUCCGGAUUUACUGGGUUUAAGGGGAGCGCAGGCGGAUUGGUAAGUCAGUGGUGAAAUACCCGUGCUUAACAUGGGAACUGCCAUUGAUACUAUCAGUCUUGAAUGUUGUUGAGGUUUGCGGAAUGGGUCAUGUAGCGGUGAAAUGCAUAGAUAUGACCCGGAACACCUAUUGCGAAGGCAGCAGGCUAAACAAAUAUUGACGCUGAGGCUCGAAAGCGUGGGGAUCAAACAGG